GACGAACGCUGGCGGCGUGCUUAACACAUGCAAGUCGAACGGAAAGGCCCUGCUUUUGUGGGGUGCUCGAGUGGCGAACGGGUGAGUAACACGGGAGUAACCUGCCCUUGACUUGGGGAUAACUUCAGGAAACUGGGGCUAAUACCGGAUAGGAGCUCCUGCUGCAUGGUGGGGGUUGGAAAGUUUCGGCGGUUGGGGUUGGACUCGCGGCUUAUCAGCUGGUUGGUGGGGUAGUGGCUUACCAAGGCUUUGACGGGUAGCCGGCCUGAGAGGGUGACCGGCCACAUUGGGCCUGAGAUACGGCCCAGACUCCUACGGGAGGCAGCAGUGGGGAAUAUUGCAAAAUGGGCGGAGGCCUGAUGCAGCAACGCCGCGUGCGGGAUGACGGCCUUCGGGUUGUAAACCGCUUUCGCCUGUGACGAAGCGUGAGUGACGGUAAUGGGUAAAGAAGCACCGGCUAACUACGUG
This 468-nucleotide ribosomal RNA is filed under the name uncultured bacterium. RNAcentral's name for it is "partial 16S ribosomal RNA". It matches the Rfam family "Bacterial small subunit ribosomal RNA", at positions 28 to 507 of the family's 1533-position model. The record is from RNAcentral.